GACGAACGCUGGCGGCGUGCUUAACACAUGCAAGUCGAACGGAAAGGCCCUGCUUUUGUGGGUUGCUCGAGUGGCGAACGGGUGAGUAACACGUGAGUAACCUGCCCUUGACUUUGUGAUAACUUCAGGAAACUGCGGCUAAUACCGCAUAUGAUCUCCUGCUGCAUGGUGGGGGUUGGAAAGUUUCGGCGGUUGGGGAUGUACUCGCUGCUUAUCAGCUUGUUGGUGUGGUAGUGGCUUACCAAGGCUUUGACGGGUAGCCGGCCUGAGAGGGUGACCGGCCACAUUGGGACUGAGGUACGGACCAGACUCCUACGGGAGGCAGCAGUGGGGAAUAUUGCACAAUGGGCGGAAGCCUGAUGCAGCAACGCCGCGUGCGGGAUGACGGCCUUCGGGUUGUAAACCGAUUUCGCCUGUGACGAAGCGUGAGUGACGGUAAUGGGUAAAGAAGCACCGGCUAACUACGUG
This 468-nucleotide ribosomal RNA is filed under the name uncultured bacterium. RNAcentral's name for it is "partial 16S ribosomal RNA". It matches the Rfam family "Bacterial small subunit ribosomal RNA", at positions 28 to 507 of the family's 1533-position model. The record is from RNAcentral.